UAUGGCUGUUCGCCAUUUAAAGUGGUACGCGAGCUGGGUUUAGAACGUCGUGAGACAGUUCGGUCCCUAUCUGCCGUGGGCGCUGGAGAACUGAGGGGGGCUGCUCCUAGUACGAGAGGACCGGAGUGGACGCAUCACUGGUGUUCGGGUUGUCAUGCCAAUGGCACUGCCCGGUAGCUAAAUGCGGAAGAGAUAAGUGCUGAAAGCAUCUAAGCACGAAACUUGCCCCGAGAUGAGUUCUCCCUGAGACUUUAGGUCUCCUGAAGGAACGUUGAAGACGACGACGUUGAUAGGCCGGGUGUGUAAGCGCAGCGAUGCGUUGAGCUAACCGGUACUAAUGAACCGUGAGGCUUAACCUUAC
This 361-nucleotide ribosomal RNA is filed under the name Salmonella enterica subsp. enterica serovar Agona str. 400095 11. RNAcentral's name for it is "bacterial LSU rRNA". It matches the Rfam family "Bacterial large subunit ribosomal RNA", at positions 2572 to 2925 of the family's 2925-position model. Lineage: Bacteria; Pseudomonadati; Pseudomonadota; Gammaproteobacteria; Enterobacterales; Enterobacteriaceae. The record is from RNAcentral.